Molecule: long non-coding RNA, 316 nt
Filed under: Trifolium pratense (red clover)
Lineage: Eukaryota; Viridiplantae; Streptophyta; Magnoliopsida; Fabales; Fabaceae
Description: long non-coding RNA (TPRA_LNC011279)
Source: RNAcentral
GACUACACUUUUGAACAAUUGAACAUAAUGGGUAUGCAAAACAGAAUCAAAUUAAUUACAAAGAAUGCAACAAUGGAAGAAGAAAGUAGAGACCUGAAGAAGUGGAAACAGAGAGAAGAUGAGAGGUAAGGGUUCUUUGAAAAGAGAGAUUGGCAUUGGUGCGAAGAUUAUGAGAAUGAGAAAGUGCAAAAGCAUGAGUUACUACUCUUCUUAGACAACACGCAGUUCCAAAGCUAGUGGUAGCAGUAGCCAUGGCCAAGAGGUGAUUCAUUCCAUGUGGGCUUUGUUGAUAAUUGAAUUUUGAUUUAAAUAUCUG